Ribosomal RNA from Pan troglodytes (chimpanzee), 112 nucleotides. NCBI's taxonomy places the organism in Eukaryota, Metazoa, Chordata, Mammalia, Primates, Hominidae. The record is from Ensembl.
GUGUAUGGCCAUACCACCCUGAACGUGCCCCAUCUCAUCUGAUCUUGGAAGCUAAGCAGGGUUGGCCCUGGUUAGUACUUGGACAGGAGGGAAUCUGAGAUUGUUUUCCUCU